Molecule: long non-coding RNA, 1019 nt
Filed under: Danio rerio (zebrafish)
Lineage: Eukaryota; Metazoa; Chordata; Actinopteri; Cypriniformes; Danionidae
Description: lncRNA si:ch211-213i16.2 (ENSDARG00000095450.3)
Source: RNAcentral
GCCAUUUUCAAAACAAAAGCCGCGGUUUUCAAGUUAUGAUGACGUUUGUUAUACAUUAUAUUUAGUUACACAUUAUACUUGGUUACAAAGCGUUGGUUAAUUUAAGUUGACUUUUCUCGUUAGCAACACGCUAAAGUUUUGUUCACUCGGUCCGAGGGCAGCGUCUCAUGAACAGACAGACAGAAAUGUCAGAGCUUGGUCUAGGACGAAAACGAAGAAUUGACAUCUGGUCAAACUUCACAUAUGACAACAAGGACAACAAGAGCGUCUGUAAACCAUGUGGAGUAAAAAUCGCUGGGAAAAACACCACCAACUUGAAGCGACGUUUACAGACGGCUCAUCCAGAAAUCCACACCAAGAUACAGAAGAUGUCUGAUGACCAUGGGCCAGGUGGAAAUAAAGCUAGUGAUGCUACUAGUACAACACAGCAGCAGGCCAUCUCAGAUUUCCUAAGGUCUUCAAAGUACAAGACUGAAUCAAAGGAACAACAGACCAAGGAGCAGGCCAUAGCUAGAUGGAUUGGACGGACAGGUUUACCACUCACAACAAUUGAGGAUGAGGACUUUGUGCUAAUGAUGGGGAUGAUAGAUGGGAGACUAACAGUUCCAAAGAAAACUAAAAUUAGCAAUUUAAUUAAAACACAGUAUGAAUGCUGUACUUUAUCUUGAAAGAAUGUCAUAUGCGUUUCAUAUAAUUCAGGGACAAUGCAUAUCUUUUUCAGGGAGCAUGUAUAUUGUUCAGGGAGAGCAGGUCUUGUGGUUAUUUUUUGUGAAAAAGACUCAUGUUUUUGACAUGUAAUAAAAUGUUUUUAUUACAACAAUUAGAUAUGUGCCUGUAUUCUAUAUAUGCUUCCAUAUAUUAUAUUAUACUUACAAUUACAUGAAUUAUGGAGAAAAAUCUGCUAAUAUUUGGUCUACUAAAACUAGACUAAGACUAAUAGACUUAAGACUAAACUAAGACUAAAACUCUUAUGAUAUUUAGUCAACUAAACUAGACUAAGACUAAAAGAUUUCAGAUGA